RNAcentral lists this unclassified non-coding RNA (329 nucleotides) under soil metagenome. RNAcentral's name for it is "partial contains 5.8S ribosomal RNA, internal transcribed spacer 2, and large subunit ribosomal RNA". The stretch from base 1 to 120 matches the Rfam family "5.8S ribosomal RNA", at positions 35 to 154 of the family's 154-position model. The record is from RNAcentral.
GAUGAAGAACGUAGCGAAACGCGAUAAGUAAUGUGAAUUGCAGAAUCCAGUGAAUCAUCGAAUCUUUGAACGCACAUUGCGCCCCUUGGUAUCCCGAGGGGCAUGCCUGUUCGAGCGUCAUUUCACCACUCAAGCCUGGCUUGGUGUUGGGCGACGUCCUCUUUGGGGACGCGCCUCGAAACGCUCGGCGGCGUGGCACCGGCUUUAAGCGUAGCAGAAUCUUUCGCUUUGGAAGUCGGGGCCCCGUCUGCCGGAAGACCUGCUCGCAAGGUUGACCUCGGAUCAGGCAGGGAUACCCGCUGAACUUAAGCAUAUCAAUAAGCGGAGGA